GUUCAAAUCCUAUCUUUUCCAUUUAAUGACUAUGUGAUCUUAGACAAGUCUUUGUUUCCUCAUUUGUAAAAUGAGGGAAUUAGACUAGAGAAUUUCCAAGACCAAUUCAUCUUUCAUUCUAGUUCUUCCCUUUGGAGAACAAGGGAGAACUGGGACAGGGAGAGAGAUGAUCCAGAAUAACUCUUUACCCUCUUACUGUUAUCAAAGAAAAACAUGGACUGAUUUGAAAUUGAAUUUGAAAUUUUUCAAUUUGAAUUUUAAUUUCUGCUCACCAGAGGUAGAGAGAGUGGAUGGGGGAGUUCUAUUGAAAAGAGUGUUGAACUUGAAGUCAGGAAACCUGGGACCAAGACCCAGCUCUAUAAUUUAUUAGCUUUGUGUCUUUGGGCAAGUCACUUCUUUCUGAGCCAGAAGAUCCUGAAGGACCCUUUGGGGUCUAAUAUUCCAUGAUUCUUGGAAGUCAAGGAUCAUAUACUGAAAGAAAAAAAAUGGCUUUUUUACAGAGCUACUUAGGAACAGUUUUAGGAGUCAUCUGGUCCUUGAUAUAUUCUCAGUAACAUCAUGGUAUAUAGUAGAUAGAUUACAUAGGAAAACCUAGCUUUAAAUACUGCCUUAGACAUAUAAUAACUGUAGGACCCUAGAUAAGUCUCUUAACCUUUCUAGCCUCAUUUCUUCUUCUAUAAGGAAAGAAGGGUUAGACUUCAUUACCUCUAAGGUACCUUCUAGCUUAAAAUCUAUGAUGAAAGAAAAGGUCCAGACAGGAGGCUCUCUUCCCUCUCAACCCUUUCAGCUACCCCCUAUUACAACAUCCCUUCCCCUUAGGCACACUGUGCUUCUUUCUUCUAGCAUCUCCAGGCAAGAACUCCUUCUCCAAAUUGAGGAAGUGUUUUCCGGGGAGACAGAAAAUUCUGGAGCUACAACUUUCAGAUUCACCCAAGAUGACUUAGGAGCCAGCCAAACAUUUGUUAUCAGAUGGGUGGUUGAGAAGUACAUCAGACUACAAGAGCUUAGAUGACACAAAGCUAUG
This 1024-nucleotide long non-coding RNA is filed under the name Monodelphis domestica (gray short-tailed opossum). Its description in RNAcentral is "lncRNA (ENSMODG00000039036.1)". The record is from RNAcentral. Lineage: Eukaryota; Metazoa; Chordata; Mammalia; Didelphimorphia; Didelphidae.